GAACGCGAAGAACCUUACCCACCUUUGACAUGUAUGGAAUUUGCCAGAGAUGGCUUAGUGCUCGAAAGAGAGCCAUAACACAGGUGCUGCAUGGCUGUCGUCAGCUCGUGUCGUGAGAUGUUGGGUUAAGUCCCGCAACGAGCGCAACCCUUGUCAUUAGUUGCUACAUUUAGUUGGGCACUCUAAUGAGACUGCCGGUGACAAACCGGAGGAAGGUGGGGAUGACGUCAAGUCCUCAUGGCCCUUAUAGGUGGGACUACACACGUCAUACAAUGGCUGGUACAGAGGGUUGCCAACCCGCAAGGGGGAGCUAAUCCCAUAAAGCCAGUCGUAGUCCGGAUCGCAGUCUGCAACUCGACUGCGUGAAGUCGGAAUCGCUAGUAAUCGCGGAUCAGCAUGUCGCGGUGAAUACGUUCCCGGGUCUUGUACACACC
Molecule: ribosomal RNA, 434 nt
Filed under: uncultured bacterium
Lineage: Bacteria
Description: bacterial SSU rRNA
Rfam family: Bacterial small subunit ribosomal RNA
Source: RNAcentral